This 495-nucleotide ribosomal RNA is filed under the name uncultured bacterium. RNAcentral describes it as "partial 16S ribosomal RNA". It matches the Rfam family "Bacterial small subunit ribosomal RNA", at positions 28 to 505 of the family's 1533-position model. The record is from RNAcentral.
GAUGAACGCUGGCGGCGUGCCUAAUACAUGCAAGUCGAGCGAACGGACGAGAAGCUUGCUUCUCUGAUGUUAGCGGCGGACGGGUGAGUAACACGUGGAUAACCUACCUAUAAGACUGGGAUAACUUCGGGAAACCGGAGCUAAUACCGGAUAAUAUUUUGAACCGCAUGGUUCAAAAGUGAAAGACGGUCUUGCUGUCACUUAUAGAUGGAUCCGCGCUGCAUUAGCUAGUUGGUAGGGUAACGGCUUACCAAGGCAACGAUGCAUAGCCGACCUGAGAGGGUGAUCGGCCACACUGGAACUGAGACACGGUCCAGACUCCUACGGGAGGCAGCAGUAGGGAAUCUUCCGCAAUGGGCGAAAGCCUGACGGAGCAACGCCGCGUGAGUGAUGAAGGUCGUCGGAUCGUAAAACUCUGUUAUUAGGGAAGAACAUAUGUGUAAGUAACUGUGCACAUCGUGACGGUACCUAAUCAGAAAGCCACGGCUAACUACG